This is a regulatory RNA element of Firmicutes bacterium CAG:110, 58 nucleotides long. It matches the Rfam family "pemK RNA". The record is from Rfam. NCBI's taxonomy places the organism in Bacteria, Bacillati, Bacillota.
ACAAUGAUACUUCUCUACGGAGCUGGCGGAGGACCCGGCAGGGGUGGAAGGCCCAUGG